CCUACGGGUGGCAGCAGUGGGGAAUAUUGGACAAUGGGGGCAACCCUGCUCCAGCCAUGCCGCGUGUGUGAAGAAGGCCCUCGGGUUGUAAAGCACUUUCAGUGAGGAAGAACGCCUGGUGGUUAAUACCCAUCAGGAAAGACAUCACUCACAGAAGAAGCACCGGCUAACUCCGUGCCAGCAGCCGCGGUAAUACGGAGGGUGCGAGCGUUAAUCGGAAUUACUGGGCGUAAAGCGCGCGUAGGUGGCUUGAUAAGCCGGUUGUGAAAGCCCCGGGCUCAACCUGGGAACGGCAUCCGGAACUGUCAAGCUAGAGUGCAGGAGAGGAAGGUAGAAUUCCCGGUGUAGCGGUGAAAUGCGUAGAGAUCGGGAGGAAUACCAGUGGCGAAGGCGGCCUUCUGGACUGACACUGACACUGAGGUGCGAAAGCGUGGGUAGCAAACAGGAUUAGAUACCCCGGUAGUC
This 465-nucleotide ribosomal RNA is filed under the name Vreelandella stevensii. Its description in RNAcentral is "partial 16S ribosomal RNA". It matches the Rfam family "Bacterial small subunit ribosomal RNA", at positions 338 to 795 of the family's 1533-position model. The record is from RNAcentral. Lineage: Bacteria; Pseudomonadati; Pseudomonadota; Gammaproteobacteria; Oceanospirillales; Halomonadaceae.